CAGUGCAGAUCGCAACCCACAAACCAAGAGGUAAUGACCUGAGCCGAAAUCAAGACGCUUAACCAACUGAGCCACCCAAGCACCCCUGGAAAUUUCUCAUUUCUAGUUUUCAACACUUCUGCAAGUUGCCUCAAGCAAUACUAUGCCGCACUGCAUCAUUGUUGAAUUGUGUUGGAAGUUUGAAAGAAGCUAGUGUUGUUUAAUGCUGCUUGAGGCCUUUCUAAGUUUGACUUUGUUCUGGGUAGAAUCUACAUGUGAUCCUUGGAUUUCAGGGAUGCAGUCGGUAGACUUGGUUGGUACUUGCUCUUGCUUGAAAGAUCAGGGUAAAUGCAUUUUAUGCCCGUUAGAUAUAUAGCUUCUAGGCCAUCCGUUACCUGUGUUCUUCAAGUUUGAAAACAUCGGUGACUUGUAGUAGCUCACCUUUCCUGUGGUGAUGGGAGAUGAUGAAGUGUCUAUGUGAUGAGAUGAAGUGAGGUGAAUGACAGGCAUUGUGAAGUAGCACCAGGCUACUCUUGACCUGAACGUGCAUCUGAAGGAGGGUCAUCUGCUUCCGUACUACAGCGGGCUACAGGGUAGUAGAUCCCAUGGCUCAAGAUUCACUUGUGAACUUUUACCAAAAGAAGGGUAGAGGCAGGCCUGCAACCGCAGAUCAUGCACACACAGUCCUCUCUUCCCCUCCCCUCCCCCUGCACCUAAGGUUGUUGGGUCCUGCUUGUAGGUUAUUACUUGGCAGGU
Molecule: long non-coding RNA, 735 nt
Organism: Herpailurus yagouaroundi (jaguarundi)
Lineage: Eukaryota; Metazoa; Chordata; Mammalia; Carnivora; Felidae
Exons: 2
Source: RefSeq, a predicted model, not a curated record